Molecule: ribosomal RNA, 274 nt
Filed under: uncultured bacterium
Lineage: Bacteria
Description: partial 16S ribosomal RNA
Rfam family: Bacterial small subunit ribosomal RNA
Source: RNAcentral
AUACGGAGGGGGUUAGCGUUGUUCGGAAUUACUGGGCGUAAAGCGUACGUAGGCGGACUGGAAAGUUGGGGGUGAAAUCCCGGGGCUCAACCCCGGAACUGCCUCCAAAACUUCCAAUCUAGAGAUCGAGAGAGGUGAGUGGAAUUCCAAGUGUAGAGGUGAAAUUCGUAGAUAUUUGGAGGAACACCAGUGGCGAAGGCGGCUCACUGGCUCGAUACUGACGCUGAGGUACGAAAGCGUGGGGAGCAAACAGGAGUAGAAACCCUAGUAGUCC